This 440-nucleotide ribosomal RNA is filed under the name uncultured bacterium. RNAcentral's name for it is "partial 16S ribosomal RNA". It matches the Rfam family "Bacterial small subunit ribosomal RNA", at positions 338 to 795 of the family's 1533-position model. The record is from RNAcentral.
CCUACGGGAGGCAGCAGUGGGGAAUAUUGCACAAUGGGGGAAACCCUGAUGCAGCGACGCCGCGUGAGUGAAGAAGUAUUUCGGUAUGUAAAGCUCUAUCAGCAGGGAAGAAAAUGACGGUACCUGACUAAGAAGCCCCGGCUAACUACGUGCCAGCAGCCGCGGUAAUACGUAGGGGGCAAGCGUUAUCCGGAUUUACUGGGUGGAAAGGGAGCGUAGACGGCCAGACAAGACAGAAGGGAAAGCCCAGGGCGCAACCCUGGGACUGCGUUUGAAACUGGCUGGCUGGAGUUGAGGAGAGGUAAGCGGAAGUCCUAGUGUAGCGGUGAAAUGCGUAGAUAUUAGGAGGAACACCAGUGGCGAAGGCGGCUUACUGGACUGUAACUGACGUUGAGGCUCGAAAGCGUGGGGAGCAAACAGGAUUAGAUACCCGUGUAGUC